This 508-nucleotide ribosomal RNA is filed under the name uncultured Glomus. RNAcentral describes it as "SSU rRNA". It matches the Rfam family "Eukaryotic small subunit ribosomal RNA", at positions 569 to 1081 of the family's 1831-position model. The record is from RNAcentral. Lineage: Eukaryota; Fungi; Glomeromycota; Glomeromycetes; Glomerales; Glomeraceae.
AGCAGCCGCGGUAAUUCCAGCUCCAAUAGCGUAUAUUAAAGUUGCUGCAGUUAAAAAGCUCGUAGUUGAAUUUCGGGACCAUCAUGUCGGUCGUGCCUCGGUACGUACUGGCAUUGUUGGUUUCUACCUUCUGACGAACCAUGAUGUCAUUUAUUUGGUGUCGUGGGAAAUCAGGACUGUUACUUUGAAAAAAUUAGAGUGUUUAAAGCAGGCUCACGCUUGAAUACAUUAGCAUGGAAUAAUGAAAUAGGACGUUUGAUUCUAUUUUGUUGGUUUCUAGGAUCGACGUAAUGAUUAAUAGGGAUAGUUGGGGGCAUUAGUAUUCAAUUGUCAGAGGUGAAAUUCUUGGAUUUAUUGAAGACUAACUACUGCGAAAGCAUUUGCCAAGGAUGUUUUCAUUAAUCAAGAACGAAAGUUAGGGGAUCGAAGACGAUCAGAUACCGUCGUAGUCUUAACCAUAAACUAUGCCGACUAGGGAUCGGAUGAUGUAAUUUUUAAUGACUCAUUC